Hordeum vulgare subsp. vulgare (domesticated barley) is the source of this 2466-nucleotide RNA transcript. It is a transcript of the gene named F-box/LRR-repeat protein At1g67190, with no coding region annotated. The transcript has 3 exons. The record is from RefSeq and is a predicted model, not a curated record. Lineage: Eukaryota; Viridiplantae; Streptophyta; Magnoliopsida; Poales; Poaceae.
UCCGUGAGAUACGCUUCCAUCAACAGCCACACCAUCGGUUUGCUAUAGCGGAAAAGAGAUAGGAAGAAGGAAAAAAAAACAGGAAGAGACCCUACGGCCACCUUCAGUCGCAUCGCGCGGACAACGAGAUCCCGGCGGCGGCAUCCAGGAGCGUGCGGAACGCGCCCCGAGAUCCCGCUGAUCGUCGCCCUCGUCCGCGCCGGGGGAGUUCCAAGCCCGCCGUUGCCGCUGGUUGGGGUCGCGGACCCCUUCCACGGGCGGCGGCGGCGCCAAAUCCAUUACGGCGCGCGGGGCGGCGGUCGACUGAUUCCAGCGGGUGGGAGGAGGAGGAGGCCGCGGAACCCGCGGGCUGCCGGUUCUGGAGGGAGGAGGCGAAAGAUCCGGUCAUCAGGGGAGGAAAGACUGCGCCUGGUGCCCAAGCCUGGAUCGGAUUGCCUGGGCCAGGGUGUCAAUCAAACAAGGCUCGGGCGUGUUUCGUCCAUCAAACAAGCCCUAAAAUCUACCGCCGCAGUGCCGUUCUCAUUGGCGUCGUCGUUCCUGUUUUUCCUCAUCGAGUUCCUGCCACCUCUACUGCGUCCACAAUCUUUGGCGAUUGGGUUUGAGGGAAGGAGGGUGAUUGGAUCGAAAUUUAUGAUUCAUAGGGUUUCUAUUGACGAUCGCACAUCCUGAAAUGUUUGCAGCCCCGUGAAUUACGUUGAGUACUACACGUGUGUUGGCUGUGAUUGGGCAAGUUCUGCAUUACAUUUUUGCUGAUAAAAUUGGGCAUCACUUGGCUGCAAAUUAUGGAGCAUCUCCCGGUCGAAGUUAUUGGCAACAUUCUUGCACAUCUUAGUGCUGCACGAGAUGUCAUGGUUUCCUCUGCGGUUUGCCGGAAGUGGCGGGAGGCCUGCAGGAAGCAUCUCCAUUCACUGUCCUUCAAUUCAGACGACUUCCCUCGGGACAUGACCACACGUCAACUUGAGAUCAUCAUCACACAGACUAUAUUUCAGACGAUGGGACUGCAGUGCCUCUCUAUUCAUAUAGAUAACACACAUGAGUUCUCUGCAGCACCUGUGAUUGCAUGGCUAAUGUAUACCAGGGAGACACUCCGGUGCUUGUAUUACAACAUCCAAACCAACCCUAAUGUAAACAUACUGGAGAAGUGUGGGAGACAGAAGCUGGAGGUGUUGGAUUUGGACCAUAACACAAUCACCGGUGUUGAACCAAGCUACCAGAGGUUCACUUGUCUUAAAUCCCUUUAUUUGAGGCACGUGAGCAUUUCUGCCCUGGAUUUGAGCCUUCUAGUUGCUGCUUGCCCGAAGAUUGAGUCACUGGCACUUGAUGUCCUUGAGAUUGUCACGUCUGAUUCGCAGUCCACAAUGGAAUUGACAAGCCAUACCUUGAAAAGCAUCUUUGUAAAAACAGUUGGUGUGGACAAGAUCAUACUCGAUGCAGAUAAUCUGGAGGUCCUGCACCUGAAUGCUUUGAACCUUGAUUUGUUUGAGCUCUCUGGGAAGGGUACACUAAAGCAUCUCAAGAUUGAUGAUGUGAGUGUUACACAUUUGGAUAUCGGGGAGAGUACCGAUCAUCUGGAGGUUGUGGAUGUGAGUAACUUUAUGAUAGUUUGGCCAAAGUUCUACAAUAUGAUAUGUAGAGCAUGCAACUUGCGGAUGCUACGUUUCUGGGGUGUUGCGUUUGAUGAUGAUGAUGAGAUUGUGGACUUGGAGACUGUUGCUGUUGCAUUUCCCCUUCUAAGGCAUCUUUCACUAAGUUAUGAAUUACGAGAUGGACUACUGCAUGGAUUGUCACCACUGGAGAAUGUUUCGGUUCUGGAACUUGGUUGGACAGUAAUAAGUGAGCACUUUGGACCCUGGGUGUUUGGAAUGAUUGAAAGGUGUCCAAAUCUCAAGAAACUUGUCAUUCAUGGUGUUCUUUCUGAGGCAAAAACACGCGAAGAGCGCAAGAUGUUAGCAACCUUCACCUCAUUUAUAGUUUGUCUCAUGAGAAAGUAUGUGCAUGUGGAUGUGCAAUUUGAGUAUGAGUGAUCAGCCACUAGGUCGAGUGGGCAUUCAUUAUCCUUGUUCAGUUCAACUCUUGCCAUCAGCUUUGUUUCUGAUCCUACUUCAUGACGAUCAUAUGGUUUAUAAUCGCAGCUGCAUGUACCAUUGGACAUGGUUAAAGAAAGCUUGAGACCACCUAUUCACAAAAUUGCAGAUUCCUGUAUUUGCUCAUUGCAUUAAACGGCAGAACCGGAUGCGAUUCCUUUUUCUCAGAAACCCUCUCCUUUUCUCCUGCUUCAUUUGUUCAGCUGUAGUGGAAUGAUUCAGUUGGGAUUUAACUGCACAUCAUAUCAAACAUCUUUUGGAUAUUCAUGAGAUUAGAAUUUGGUUCCGAGAUUCUCUUGAUAUAUGCUGUCAAAGUGCAACUUUUGUAAACUAGACCAUUUAAAGCUUACAAUCGCAUGCCCUCAGCGGUUCUCCUCGGAAA